This 465-nucleotide ribosomal RNA is filed under the name Vreelandella stevensii. RNAcentral describes it as "partial 16S ribosomal RNA". It matches the Rfam family "Bacterial small subunit ribosomal RNA", at positions 338 to 795 of the family's 1533-position model. Lineage: Bacteria; Pseudomonadati; Pseudomonadota; Gammaproteobacteria; Oceanospirillales; Halomonadaceae. The record is from RNAcentral.
CCUACGGGGCGCAGCAGUGGGGAAUAUUGGACAAUGGGCGAAAGCCUGAUCCAGCCAUGCCGCGUGUGUGAAGAAGGCCUUCGGGUUGUAAAGCACUUUCAGUGGGGAAGAAAGCCUUGGGGCUAAUACCCUCGAGGAAGGACAUCACCCACAGAAGAAGCACCGGCUAACUCCGUGCCAGCAGCCGCGGUAAUACGGAGGGUGCGAGCGUUAAUCGGAAUUACUGGGCGUAAAGCGCGCGUAGGCGGUCUGAUAAGCCGGUUGUGAAAGCCCCGGGCUCAACCUGGGAACGGCAUCCGGAACUGUCAGGCUAGAGUGCAGGAGAGGAAGGUAGAAUUCCCGGUGUAGCGGUGAAAUGCGUAGAGAUCGGGAGGAAUACCAGUGGCGAAGGCGGCCUUCUGGACUGACACUGACGCUGAGGUGCGAAAGCGUGGGUAGCAAACAGGACUAGAUACCCCUGUAGUC